This 497-nucleotide ribosomal RNA is filed under the name uncultured bacterium. Its description in RNAcentral is "partial 16S ribosomal RNA". It matches the Rfam family "Bacterial small subunit ribosomal RNA", at positions 28 to 507 of the family's 1533-position model. The record is from RNAcentral.
GAUGAACGCUGGCGGCGUGCCUAAUACAUGCCAGUCGAGCGAACAGACGAGGAGCUUGCUCCUCUGACGUUAGCGGAGGACGGGUGAGUAACACGUGGAUAACCUACCUAUAAGACUGGGAUAACUUCGGGAAACCGGAGCUAAUACCGGAUAAUAUAUUGAACCGCAUGGUUCAAUAGUGAAAGACGGUUUUGCUGUCACUUAUAGAUGGAUCCGCGCCGCAUUAGCUAGUUGGUAAGGUAACGGCCUACCGAGGCAACGAUGCGUAGCCGACCUGAGAGGGGGAUAGCCCACCCUGGAACGGAGACACGGUCCAGGCGCCUACGGGAGGCAGCAGUAGGGAAUGUUCCGCAAUGGGCGAAAGCCUUACGCAGCAACGCCGCGUGAGUGAUGAAGGUCUUCGGUUCGUAAAGCUCUGUUAUUAGGUAAGAACAAAUGUGUAAGUAACUAUGCACGUCGUGACGGUACCUAAUCAGAAAGCCACGGCUAACUACGUG